This 435-nucleotide ribosomal RNA is filed under the name uncultured bacterium. RNAcentral describes it as "bacterial SSU rRNA". It matches the Rfam family "Bacterial small subunit ribosomal RNA", at positions 28 to 507 of the family's 1533-position model. The record is from RNAcentral.
GAUGAACGCUGGCGGCGUGCUUAACACAUGCAAGUCGAACGAACCUUCGGGUUAGUGGCGGACGGGUGAGUAACGCGUGAGAAUCUGCCCUCAGGACGGGGGAUAACGGUUGGAAACGACCGCUAAUAACCCCCAUAUGCCGCGAGGUGAAAUGAAUUUCGCCUGAGGAUGAGCUCGCGUCUGAUUAGUUAGUUGGUGGGGUAAAGGCCUACCAAGACAUCGAUCAGUAGCUGGUCUGAGAGGAUGAUCAGCCACACUGGGACUGAGACACGGCCCAGACUCCUACGGGAGGCAGCAGUGGGGAAUUUUCCGCAAUGGGCGAAAGCCUGACGGAGCAACGCCGCGUGAGGGAUGAAGGCCUCUGGGCUGUAAACCUCUUUUAUCAAGGAAGAAGAUCUGACGGUACUUGAUGAAUAAGCCACGGCUAAUUCCGUG